AGAGGACCUGAGUUCAAGUCUCCAGAACCCAUGUAAAAGCCAGGCGUGGCCAAGUGUGUUUGUAACCCAGCAUUCUGAGAGGCAGACACAGGCACAUCCUAGAAGCUCAUUGGCCAGAUAGUUUAACCCAGAUGGCAAGCUCCAGGUUCAGUGAGAGAGUCCGUGAAGGGAGUGAGGCUGAGGGUGGUAGAGACUCAACCAUCCUCUGACUUCCAUGUGUGCUCAUGUGUGCGUGUACAGCUACAUGUGGAGACACACAGAUGCCCAGAUGCACAGGCACACACAAUGAAUUCAUGAGGGAAUAAAUAAGUGAAUUUACAGGAUUAUGAUCUGUUACUGCCCCCAAGUCUGCCUCGGUCAUUGGGGGAGGUUCUAUUGGCAUUUUUGAGCCAUGGAAUUCUCUGUUGUUGAGAGUUUCCUAUGCAAUGUAAACACUUAGAAACCUUCCUGGGCACAACCCUUCAGAGACCAAAAGCACCCAUGGCUUGCAGUUGCGCAAACCAAAAGUACACUGAGACUUGUCCAAGUGUUCCCUGGACAGGACGUGGGGAACAAACUUGGCCCUGGCCAAGAGACAAUGGCUGUAACAACAGCAAAUGGCUGUAAGCAGGUGACAUGACUUCUGGAGUUGAUGACCACUUCACUCAGCAUCUGUCUGGUCCCUGGAAACACCAGCUGGGAGAGGCAUGGCGCUCUCUGCUGAGGGGCCAGGCAGGAUAGAGCAUGCUACAUGUCCUGAAAAGAAACCUGAGCUGAGUUCAACUGCCUGCUUCAGAUGAGGUGUCAUGCAGCCUAGCUUGCCCUCCUUCCUGUGUAACUGGCAAUGACCUUGAAUUCCUGAUUCUCCUGUUCCCAUCUCCCGAGUCCUGGGGACACAGGGGGAAGGAUGUUUUCUGUGUGACUCAACCAUCCCAACCUUGGGUAUGCAGCCGCGGGAAGUUAAUGACACACAAAAGCUAAACCUGAAAUGCACGUGAUGCUGAUGGAUUAUUCACAAUAACCAAGACACGGGAGUCAGCUGGAGCGCACAUGUGCAGAAGAGUGGAAAGAGGAAAUCGAGAUGCACACAAUGGGAUACUUAUUAUUCUCCAUGAGCAAGAAUGGAAUCCUGCCAUCUGCAGCUGAAUGGUCGGACCCAAAGGAUACCGGGGUCAGAUAGGCAAGAAGUAUAUGUCGUCUCUUAGACAUGGAAACCAAAAGAGAAAAAUAAAUGACCUGAAAGUGAGAUAUAACUUAUGAGGGAAGGACUGGGAAGACUUUCAUGAUCCCGAGGAGAGACAAAUUACUGACUCCAAGGAGCUUCGCCAGCAGAAAGAUGGCACUCGGUGGCCUUCACCGAUGGGUUUCCAGUCUGUUCUGGGAUGCAAAGAGCAGAACUGAGACAUCUUCAGACAUCCAUCUGCCCUGAUGGCAUGGCUAGUUGGUUCUUGCUGUGACGAGAGUGAAACUGUCUUUUGAAACACCUGUUCUUCAAGCUCCAUGGCUGUGUGGGACUCCUUAGAUGCUGAGGUAAGAAUAAAAAACAAACAGAAUCCUCUUUUUUUGGAGCGGGGGGACAGGUUCUUACUCUACAGUCCAGUCUGCCCUUUGUAUGACUCAGUUUGUGUAGACCCUUGAACUCAUGACAAUCCAGAAUGGUCAGUCAAGCUCCUGGAUGCCUGAUUGCCUCCCCAGACUCCAGAACACAGCUUUGCUGACUAGCCGCAUGCCCCAACUCUUCAGAUAUUUCUGGGGAGUUUUUGCACUGACUCCUGGAGACACUUGACAUUAACUCUGUCCAUUUGCCUUCAAGUUUCACAUGCAGAAAAGGGAAACAUGCGUUUUCUAGCAGACUAGAACAGUCCUGAGUGUUUCCUGUGAAUGUCUCUGUGUGGUGUACCACAGGUCUGUCAGAGUGGGAGGAAACAAAGGGCUUGGACUCAAACAGGACUUCCGGAAUGUUCUUUCAGACGAGUUGUGCUUGGUCCAAACUGAAACUUGGAUGGGUUUAUUUUUUUCACCUGUGAGUUGAGACUGUCGCUGUUUCUUGUGUUCUCACAGGACGUAAUUAGUCGCAUUUCCCACUGCUGUGACAAAAUGCCCGAGGGCAGCGAUGUGAGGAAGCUAGAAGGUUUAUUUUGGCUCAGGAUUUGAGGGUAGAGCCCAUCAUGGUGGGAAACACACCAUGGCAGGGAUGUGAAGCUGCUGGUUGCCUUCAUCCAGUGAGGAAGCAGAAACCGAUGCCAGUGCUCAGCUCCCACCUACUUUUUACUCCUCAGUGUGUAGAGCAGUGUCGCCCACAAUCAGGGCUGCUCUUCCUUCUUCCCUUAGCCCUCACAGACUUGCCCAGAGAUGUGUCUUCCAAACCCAGCCAUUUUGACAGUAAGUAUUAACUAUCGCAGGGACUAAAAUCCCCCCCACCCCCUGAAAGGACUAUUAAGUAAGCAUCAGGCAUGAUACCACUCACCUGUAUCCUGUAUCCCAACCCUUAAGAGACUGGGGCAGCAGGAGGGUUGUGAGUUCAAGGCCAGCCUAGGUCACUUGGAGAAACCCUAUCUCAAAGAAACAAAACAAAACAAAACAAAACAAAACAACAACAAAAACCCCGGGGGCUGGAGGUUUGCCUCAGAGUUAAGAACAUGUGCUGCUCUUCCAGGGGAGCUGGAUUCAAUUUCCAGCACCUCUAUGGUGCUUCAUAACUCUGAUAACUGCAGCCUCAAGGGAUCUGAAGCCCUCUUCUGACCUUCCUGAGCACCAGACAUAUAGGAGGUGCACAUACAUAUAUGUAGGCAGAAACACACACGUAAGAUAAUAAAACAAAUGUUAAAAAGUUAAAAAAAAAAACCAAAGAGUUAGCAAAACCCAGACAAAAAAGUCAUAAUCAGGAUAGCUGAACAGGCUGUGAGUUUCAUCUCUCUGCCCUCAGCAAGAUAUCCUAAGGGAGAAACAGCAAGGACGACAGGGUGUGAUAAGAUGAAAUAAUCAUAUUUUGCACUUAAGUAAAAAACAGUUUUAGAUCAUAGAUCUUCUUCCUACUUGCUGUGCAGUGUUGGGCAGGUUUCAUACUUGCUAAGGUUUUCAUUUUCAUAUUCAAGGCUAAAGGGUUAGAUAGACGAAUCAAUGGUCGAAUCAAAGGACGGGAGUUUGGUUCCAAGAACUUGAGGGUAGCUCAUUUCCAUAGGAACAGGGAUCUGAUGCCCUCUUCUGGUCUCUAUGGGCACUGCACUCAGGUACACACACACACACACACACACACACACACAUUUAAAAAGAAAAUAAGGUCAUUGCACAACACAGUUAAGGACAGUUACUUGUAAGUUAAUAUGAGGGUUAAAUGAAGAUGAUAUUUAUGAAGUUCCUAGAAAAUAUCUUACACAGAUCAAAAAGACCAAGAAGAUGAAAUUGCUUCUGUUUGAAUUAUAGUUUAACUACUUACUCAUAAAAAUGACUAAUAUUUUCACGUUAACACAAGUGAAACUUCUGUGUAGAGAUGUAUUGAUUUCUCUAAAGCUCUACUCUAUAAAGAACGCUCUGAAGACAGGGAUGGGAUUGUGGGCAGUGUUUGGUAUCCUGGCUUAGAGUUGACCCUAUGCUAUGUACUCUGGAAGUGAACACUUCUUUAUUGUUUUUAGUGGUGCUGAGAAUCUGGAAUUUCCAGUCCAGAGAGACGCCUCGGUGACUAAAAGUGUAUACUGUGUUUGUAGAAGAUCUCAACACGUACAUCAGGUAGUUCACAACUGUCUACAGCUUCCGCUCAAGGGAAAUCUGCUAUUCUCUUUGGCUUCUCCAAGAAAAUGAAUGCAUUGCAUAGAUACAACACACACACACACACACACACACACACACACACACUCAUAUGUACGUUUAAUUUUUUAACUAAUUAAAGUUUAUGUGCAUGUGAGUUUUGACCGCAUGUAUGUUUGUGAUUGGUCCAAGCUCUGCUGGAGGCUGUUGCAUUGCUGUACUUAGAUUAUCGACGGGAUGAUAAAGACAGUGGUCACACCUGCCAAUUCCAAGGACACAACACACAAUGCAGCCCUUCCUUUUUGGCUGUGCCCCCAGGAGAGCUCACAUAACCUCUCAGAGUCCUCCAAAGUUGCUUUCUCAGGCAUUUUAUCAGCGGUAAGAAAAGUAACUGUAUCUUGGGUAUUCUGAGC
This 4136-nucleotide small RNA is filed under the name Rattus norvegicus (Norway rat). RNAcentral describes it as "uncharacterized LOC102549861". The record is from RNAcentral. Lineage: Eukaryota; Metazoa; Chordata; Mammalia; Rodentia; Muridae.